GUAGUCAUGGCCGAGAGGUUAAGGCGAUGGACUCGAAAUCGAUUGGGGUCACCCCGCGCAGAUUCGAACCCUGCCGACUACG
Molecule: non-coding RNA, 82 nt
Organism: Carassius gibelio (silver crucian carp)
Lineage: Eukaryota; Metazoa; Chordata; Actinopteri; Cypriniformes; Cyprinidae
Source: the annotation of a RefSeq genome assembly